RNAcentral lists this ribosomal RNA (441 nucleotides) under uncultured bacterium. RNAcentral describes it as "partial 16S ribosomal RNA". It matches the Rfam family "Bacterial small subunit ribosomal RNA", at positions 338 to 795 of the family's 1533-position model. The record is from RNAcentral.
CCUACGGGUGGCAGCAGUGGGGGAUAUUGCACAAUGGGGGGAACCCUGAUGCAGCGACGCCGCGUGGGUGAAGGAGUGCUUCGGCAUGUAAAGCUCUAUCGGCAGGGAAGAAGCUAGCCGUUACCUGCCUAAGCAGCCCCGGCUAACUACGUGCCACCAGCGGCGGUAAUACGUAGGGGGCGAGCGUUACCCGGAUUCCCUGGGUGUAAAGGGAGCGUAGACGGCCAUGCAAGCCAGGGGUGAAAGCCCAGGGCCCAACCACGGGACUGCCCUUGAAACUGUGCGGCUGGAGUGCGGGAGGGGCAGGCGGAAUUCCUAGUGUAGCGGUGAAAUGCGUAGAUAUCAGGAGGAACACCGGCGGCGAAGGCGGCCUGCUGGACCGCGACUGACGUUGAGGCUCGAAAGCGUGGGGAGCGAACAGGAUUAGAUACCCCUGUAGUC